CCUACGGGAGGCAGCAGUGAGGAAUAUUGGUCAAUGGCCGGAAGGCUGAACCAGCCAUGCCGCGUGAAGGUCAGUGCCCUAUGGGCGUUAAACUUCUUUUGUGCGGGAGCAAUAAUGGUCACGUGUGGCCAGACGAGAGUACCGUACGAAUAAGCAUCGGCUAACUCCGUGCCAGCAGCCGCGGUAAUACGGGGGAUGCAAGCGUUAUCCGGAUUUAUUGGGUUUAAAGGGUGCGUAGGCUGGGAGGUAAGUCAGCGGUGAAAUGCCCCCGGUCAACGGGGUGAAGUGCCAUUGAUACUGGCUGGCUGGAAUGCGGAUGCCGUGGGAGGAAUGUGUGGUGUAGCGGUGAAAUGCAUAGAUAUCACACAGAACACCGAUUGCGAAGGCAUCUCACGAAUCCGCGAUUGACGCUGAUGCACGAAAGCGUGGGUAUCAAACAGGAUUAGAUACCCCAGUAGUC
This 460-nucleotide ribosomal RNA is filed under the name uncultured bacterium. RNAcentral's name for it is "partial 16S ribosomal RNA". It matches the Rfam family "Bacterial small subunit ribosomal RNA", at positions 338 to 795 of the family's 1533-position model. The record is from RNAcentral.